This 399-nucleotide ribosomal RNA is filed under the name uncultured bacterium. Its description in RNAcentral is "bacterial SSU rRNA". It matches the Rfam family "Bacterial small subunit ribosomal RNA", at positions 356 to 772 of the family's 1533-position model. The record is from RNAcentral.
GGGGAAUAUUGGACAAUGGGCGAAAGCCUGAUCCAGCCAUGCCGCGUGAGUGAUGAAGGCCUUAGGGUUGUAAAGCUCUUUUACCCGGGAAGAUAGUGACGGCACCGGGAGAAUAAGCCCCGGCUAACUUCGUGCCAGCAGCCGCGGUAAUGCGAAGGGGGCUAGCGUUGUUCGGAUUUACUGGGCGUAAGGCGCACGUAGGCGGAUUCUUAAGUCAGGGGUGAAAUCCCGAGGCUCAACCUCGGAACUGCCUUUGAUACUGGGGAUCUUGAGUCCGGAAGAGGUGAGUGGAACUGCGAGUGUAGAGGUGAAAUUCGUAGAUAUUCGCAAGAACACCAGUGGCGAAGGCGGCUCACUGGUCCGGAACUGACGCUGAGGUGCGAAAGCGUGGGGAGCAAA